CAGGACGAACGCUGGCGGCGUGCCUAAUACAUGCAAGUCGAACGGUCUUUCUAUGGAAGCUUGCUUCCACUGGGAAGAUAGUGGCGAACGGGUGAGUAACACGUGGGUAACCUGCCCAUAAGAGGGGGGAUAACAUCCGGAAACGGGUGCUAAUACCGCAUAGUCUUCUUGAUCGCAUGAUUGAGAAAGGAAAGACGGCCUUUGUGCUGUCGCUUAUGGAUGGACCCGCGGCGUAUUAGUUAGUUGGUGAGGUAACGGCUCACCAAGACGAUGAUACGUAGCCGACCUGAGAGGGCGAUCGGCCACAUUGGGACUGAGACACGGCCCAAACUCCUACGGGAGGCAGCAGUAGGGAAUCUUCCGCAAUGGACGAAAGUCUGACGGAGCAACGCCGCGUGAGUGAAAGAAGGUUUUCGGAUCGUAAAACUCUGUUGUCAGAGAAGAACAAGUUGGAGAGUAACUGCUCCAGCCUUGACGGUAUCUGACCAGAAAGCCACGGCUAACUACGUGCCAGCCGCCGC
RNAcentral lists this ribosomal RNA (521 nucleotides) under uncultured bacterium. RNAcentral describes it as "bacterial SSU rRNA". It matches the Rfam family "Bacterial small subunit ribosomal RNA", at positions 25 to 518 of the family's 1533-position model. The record is from RNAcentral.